GAUGAACGCUGGCGGCGUGCCUAAUACAUGCAAGUCGAGCGAACGGACGAGAAGCUUGCUUCUCUGAUGUUAGCGGCGGACGUGUGAGUAACACGUGGAUCACCCACCUUUAAGAUAAGGCUAACUUCGGGAAACCGAAGCUAAUACUGGACAACUUUUUGAUCGGCAGGGUUCAAAAGCUAAAGCGGGUCUGGAUGUACUCGAGACCUGUCACCGUGCUGCUUUGGUUGUUUGGUAGGGUAACGGCUUACGGAGGCGAGGAUGGCAAGCCGACCUGGGAGGGUGAACGGCGACACAGGAGCUGAGACACGGUACUGACUCCUACGGGAGGCAGCAGCAGGGACUGUUCGGCGAUGGGCGAAAGCCUGACGGAGCAGCGCCGCGUGGGUGAUGAAGGGCUUCGGGUCGUAAGACUCUGUUAUUGGGGAAGAACAUAUGUGUAAGUAACUGUGCACAUCUUGACGGUACCUAAAGAAGAAGCAACGGCUAACUACGUG
This 497-nucleotide ribosomal RNA is filed under the name uncultured bacterium. Its description in RNAcentral is "partial 16S ribosomal RNA". It matches the Rfam family "Bacterial small subunit ribosomal RNA", at positions 28 to 507 of the family's 1533-position model. The record is from RNAcentral.